AUGACCCAGGCCAGUGAUCCCGCCGACCGGGAUGAUGAAGACCGAGGAUCGACUCUCUAUGUCAUGGACCUGUCAAGCGACGCCAGGAUCCACGACCGCUUCCAGGUCCUCGCCUGCCACCAGGGCGACGGGUGGCGCUGGCAUGCUCUGCCGGCGCCGCCAUUCGUCUCUAGCUACCCUUACAGCUACGGAAGCACGACUUGCUACACAGUGGUCGACAGCUCCACCAUCUGCAUAUCAUCCAUGAAAGGGGACUUGGGCACAUACGCCUUCGACACGGCGAGGCACGUGUGGAGGCAGGUCGGCAAAUGGGCGCUGCCCUGGUGUGGCAAAGCUGAGUACGUCCCUGAGCUCAAGCUCUGGCUGGGCCUCUCGCUCCCGGCCGGCAGCCCCCCUUUGGGCCACUUGCUCCCGGUCUGCAGCCCCCACUUUCCCAGGUUAUGCGCCUUGGACCUCUCCGCCAUGGACGCCGCCGAGCAGCCACCGACGCCGCAGGGUACUUGGGAUUAUCUUGACCUGCCCGAGGAUGACAAGAGGAGGAUGAUAGCCGAGCUCCAUCUGGUUAACUUGGGCUCUGGCAUGUUCUGCGUCGCCACGGUCCUUAGGGACCUGGUGCGCCUACCUAGAGUAUGCGACCCAUGGACCAAUGAUGAGGACGGCUCUCCUUGCACUUCAAAUGAGGACGAUAUGAUGGAUCUCCUUGGCGACGAGAUUGUUAUCUUAACUGGAGUGAAGGUGGAGAGAUGCUGCAACGACGGCGAGGCUCCUCUUCGGAUCAUCAAGCACAAGUCUAGACGUUACGAUUUAAAAGAGUAUACCAUGAAGUCCGUGCUAUAA
This 837-nucleotide ribosomal RNA is filed under the name Triticum aestivum (bread wheat). Its description in RNAcentral is "partial small subunit ribosomal RNA". Lineage: Eukaryota; Viridiplantae; Streptophyta; Magnoliopsida; Poales; Poaceae. The record is from RNAcentral.